RNAcentral lists this ribosomal RNA (126 nucleotides) under Danio rerio (zebrafish). Lineage: Eukaryota; Metazoa; Chordata; Actinopteri; Cypriniformes; Danionidae. The record is from RNAcentral.
UACAACAGAAUUUCGCACACACAAACUCUAGUGUGACCGCAGCUUUACUCACUGAAGCUAUGCAAGGCUGAGUUUGUUCAGUACCUGAAUGGAAGACCGCAUGGGAAAACUAGGCUGCUGUUGGAA